RNAcentral lists this long non-coding RNA (4161 nucleotides) under Homo sapiens (human). RNAcentral describes it as "HSALNT0173525". The record is from RNAcentral. Lineage: Eukaryota; Metazoa; Chordata; Mammalia; Primates; Hominidae.
AUAAUCCUGUUUCUAAUUUCAAGAAACCAAUUUCUUCAUUAAGGAAUUUCCAUGGCAAAAUAACAAUUGUUCUUCAAAAACACCUGCAUCACUUAUUAAAAAUUGAGUGGUAACUGAAGAUGGCAAAACACCGCAUCAGAACGACUCAGUCACAGUGGCAAUUGUUUUGAAAGAUGAUGAAAGAAGGGCUAGCCUGAAAGAAACUUCUGCCUUCUUUGGAAAUGAGAUGCAAAAAGUAUGGCUCCCUGCUACAACAAAAAUGGAUCCCCCAAGGAGGACAUAACUGGAAUUGCUGUCAUUGUUACCCCUUUGAAAAUCUCAGCCAGCUAGAGGACCAGAGACAUUCUCAUCAAGAUUAAAGCCAGAGCAACCACCACCAACAAAUGAUGACAAAUCCCUGCCAGGAUUGGAGUGGGUUUGAAUGGCAUAGCUGGCCCCUGGUACUCCUGAGUGGUUAGAUCGUCAGUCUUACCUGUUCAUUUUGUUAACCUCAUAGUAGUACAGCAACAUAUUUUACUUGUUUGAAUUGUUUGUGUUAGAAUCAGGUAUUAACCUUGUAGGCAACAUGGAUAAUAUAUUUCUGUAGUUCAACAUAAUUUCCAUUUUAAAUUCACAAUUUAUUAGAGCAGCAGAAAAUAAUGUCAAUAAAAUUGAAGCCUCUUUUUCUUAAGGGAUUGUGCCUAAGGAGCUUACUUAAUUCCAAGACUGGGUGUGUGGUGAGGAGGGGAGAAAAUGGAGAGGACGCUAUGCCUCAUUAUUUCCUAAGAUGCUCAUCAUUCCAAAUGAUCAUCCAUCACUGGUCUUAAGGUCACUUUUGUCUUCUGGUCUCUUUGGGUCUGAAAGAUCUCUGCUAUGUCCAUUAUUCAGGUGGGGGUUUGGAAAUAACUGCAACCUAUCUAGAAACUCAUCUGCCAAAUGAACUUCGCAACAAUUUCCUAUGUGGGGGCAUAUCACCUUCCUGAGACUCUGCCUGAGGUAAAGGCACAGAGCCUCACUCCCUUGAUCAAGCUUCCUUCCAUCCUUCUUACUCCAACCUGUUUUCUGUUUGCCACAGAAAUCUCACCUUCUUUCAGAGACACAAAGGGAACUCUACCCCAAGAUCAAUUUUAUAAAGGCUCAUAAUUCCAGUUCUCUCUUGAUAAUAGAGCAGUCUCGAAAUCAGUUACUAAAUGUAGGGUGGAUUAAUUUUAGAUCUUGUGUAUAGGACUUGGUCUGAAUCCUUUAAAAUCGUAGGUAUAUACUUUACAUAAGCCUUACCCCAAGGGCAGCCAUAAUUUUCUUUCAACCAUAUUUUGUAGGCUGGUGAGUCCUGCACCUGCCCCAAGUUUCAGGCAAUUAACUUGACUGUGGUCUCCUGCCAUGCACACUGAGCUUUAGCUCUCAUUAAUCUGUGGGAGACAAAUUCUAGCUUCCUCUAGACUGAGAACCAGCAGGCCUAGCUCCAGUCUCUAAUCACUAACUUAUCACUGUGACAUUUUUUUCCCUUUCUGGUCUGUGGAGAUAUUUCUCUUCUUUUGAGUUUACCAUAUCUUAGUCAUUUUGCCAUUCUUUAAAAUUAUUCUUUGACUGCUAAGCUUGGAGUUGAUGGAGAAGUUCAAGCCUAAACUCAUAAUGUCAUCCUGACCCUUGGUCCCAAACUGUUGGUAUCUGAUUAUCUAGUUCUCAGGGUGAAUUUGGAUAUUUGUAGACUUGAAGGCCCAAAUAGACAAGUGGACACUCCAUGUUAAUCAUAGCCCAACUUAUCCUAGAAAGAAAAUUAAGUUUAAUUAAGUUCCUCAAUAUAUUUCACCUAAGAUGCAAGAACAAAUAAACCCUGAAAAAUAUUUUUUAUAGUGAAGCCCUUGCUCAGAGAAAAAACAGAACAAAACCUCAAGAACUGUGAUUAAUUAUACUAAAGGAUAUUUUCAGGCAUGGACUUGUCUUGAAAACGUGCUGUUGGGCCUAAUUGUAUUUACAGUUCACACUCAUAUAUAGAGCACUGGUAGACCAGUCAGUGAGUGAAUGAUUAUAGUCCUAUUUUUGGCUUGAACAUUCAUCAAUGUGUGAGUGUUGGCAGGAAAGCCACUAAACUUUUCACAGUAUGUCUUCUCAUUGUAAAAUGGAAAUAUUAAUUCCUGCCAUUAUUGUGGUAUGGUUAUGAAGAACAAACAAAACACAGCCAAAUGAUGCUAUAAAUCUGUUUUGAGAUUAUCCCUGGCACAUUUACCUAGUAAAAUUUUGCAUUCAUUUUGCAUAGUAAAAUGAAUAGUUGUUAUUUUAAAAGAGGGUAAAAAAAAUAAGCUAAGUAAUUCAAGAAUCUAAAAACAACUAUAAAAUAAGCAAUACAUUAAACAAAUAUUAAAAUUACUUAACCAAAAAGAAAGCUAUUUUGUUUAAAAGAUUAGUAGAAUUAAGACGAGAUUUUAAAUGUCUCUUUCUACUGAGGUUAAUGCUAAAAAAUUGUAUCUUUGAGUUUUUUUUUCUUUUUUUAGAAAAUGAUAGUGGAAAAAUUUUUAUCAGAAGAAAGCUUAAAAGCAUAGGUAAAAUUAGCCUUUUUUUCUAGAGAAAAUAUAAGUAUCAAAAAUGACAGAAGGAAUAGAUCAAUUAAAUACUGUAAAGAGUAUAUAGCUAAAAAUAAUCAAUUCCCAAUGUCUCAAAAUUCACCUUAUAGUACUAAUUAUAACUGUGGCCAAAUCUCCAAGGUACAGAUAAUGCUUAUAUAUUAUGACCUUUCCAGACACUAUAAAAAGAGGACAACCUGUCAAGAAAGUUUAUUACUAUCUUUGGUUUUUCAUGUUAUGAUUGUUUAUCUGCUAAGAAAUUAUUGGAACUGUUAUUACAGUUUGUUAUUAAUGCCAAAAAUUAGAUCGAUAUGCAAAGGCCAAUGGAAGAAAUAGUUAGCAACAAUAAGAGAAAAAAGUAUAUAGAGAAAAAAUAUCUAAAAUAUCAGAAAAACCUUUAUGAUAUCAAAGAAUGUAAUAAAAGUAAAACCAUUAUAGAAUAAUAAUUUUUAAAAUAUUUGUGAAAGAUAUGUAUGAAUACCAAAACAGGUGGUAAAAAUCUUGUUAUGGAUAAGAAAAUUCACGGCCAUAAAGCUGUCAAUUUUUUUCAAAAUUAAAGGGCAACCUCCCUCUAGGAUUUUUAAUGUACAUACUAACUUGGUGCAAAAGUCAUUGCAGUUUUUGCCAUUACUUUAAUAGCAAAAACUAAAAAUAACCAAAAUGUCUGGUAGGGGGUCUGCCUGAGCAAGUAUUAAAACAUAAGUAACAAUAAUUAAAGCAGCAUUAUAUUGGCACAGAAAUAGGUAUGAAGGAAUUAAGAGCUGAGGUAGAGUCUCAAGUUUAUACAUAAUUUUUUAUUGUUGAACAAUUCUAUGGAGAUAAGUUUUGCAUACAAAAAUUUCAUGUUUAAAGAAAUAAUUUGGUGUUUUGAGAUAUGUAUUUAUGCAUGUUAAAAAAUUGAUCACUCACAAAAAUUUCCUCCACUUUGUACUCUCUUUCUUAGAGUCCUUCCCAUUCUAGGAAGCCAAUGAUUGUCUUUCUAUCAUUAGAGACUAGUUUGCAUUUUUAAGCAUUUUAUAUGAAUGGAGUAAUACAAUGCAUACUCUCAUUUUGUCUGGCUUAUUUCACUCAGUGUAAGAGAUGUCUCAAACCUGUUGCCAACAGUUUUGCAUCAAUAGUUAAUUCUUUUCAUUGCUGAGUAGUAUUCCAUUGUAUAGAUGUAUCAUAAUUUAUCUGCUUACACACUGAUGGACAUUUGGAUUCUUUCCAGUUUUUGGCUAUUAUCAUAAAAGUUUCUUGAAGAAUUUUAUAAAAGUCUUGGUAUGAAUAUUUUCAUUCAUUUCUGCUGGGUACAAACUUAGGAGUGGAGUGUCUGGAACAUAUGGUAGAUGCAUGUUUAACAUUUUAAGAAACUGCCAAAUCAUUUUCCAAAAUACAUGUAUUACUAGGAUAAGUUAGAGUGAAUUAUCUCCAUACCCUCUUGAAAUAGGUUGACCAUGUCAAUCUAUUUUUAUGUAGUCAUUAUACUGAGUGUGCAGUGGUAUGGCCAUGUCAAUCUAUUUUUAUGUAGUCAUUAUACUGAGUGUGCAGUGGUAUGGCCAUGUCAAUCUAUUUUUAUGUAGUCAUUAUACUGAGUGUGCAGUGGUACCUAAUUUUGGUUUCAGCGACUAAGGGGUUGAGC